UCCGUGACUUACUGCCCAAAGCCUGGGAAC
Molecule: non-coding RNA, 30 nt
Filed under: Rattus norvegicus (Norway rat)
Lineage: Eukaryota; Metazoa; Chordata; Mammalia; Rodentia; Muridae
Source: RNAcentral